GUCAAGCGAGUAAGCGCAUGCGGUGGAUGCCUAGGCGACAGGAGGCGAUGAAGGACGUUGUAGUCUGCGAUAAGCCCCGGCGAGCUGACAAACAAGCUUUGACCCGGGGAUUUCCGAAUGGGGAAACCCACUGCUUCGGCAGUAUCCUUACCUGAAUUCAUAGGGUAAGGAGGCAAUACCCGGGGAACUGAAACAU
RNAcentral lists this ribosomal RNA (196 nucleotides) under Symbiodinium sp. clade D. Its description in RNAcentral is "partial Bacterial large subunit ribosomal RNA". It matches the Rfam family "Bacterial large subunit ribosomal RNA", at positions 1 to 201 of the family's 2925-position model. Lineage: Eukaryota; Dinophyceae; Suessiales; Symbiodiniaceae. The record is from RNAcentral.